This 253-nucleotide ribosomal RNA is filed under the name uncultured bacterium. RNAcentral's name for it is "partial 16S ribosomal RNA". It matches the Rfam family "Bacterial small subunit ribosomal RNA", at positions 524 to 776 of the family's 1533-position model. The record is from RNAcentral.
UACGUAGGUGACAAGCGUUGUCCGGAUUUACUGGGCGUAAAGAGCGCGCAGGCGGUCGAUCAAGUCGAGUGUGAAAGCCCCCGGCUCAACUGGGGAGGGUCAUUCGAUACUGAUCGACUUGAAGGCAGGAGAGGGAAGCGGAAUUCCCGGUGUAGUGGUGAAAUGCGUAGAUAUCGGGAGGAACACCAGUGGCGAAGGCGGCUUCCUGGCCUGUUCUUGACGCUGAGGCGCGAAAGCUAGGGGAGCAAGCGGG